CGGGAAUUUUGGGCAAUGGGCGAAAGCCUGACCCAGCAACGCCGUGUGAGGGAUGAAGUAUUUCGGUAUGUAAACCUCGAAAGAAUGGGAAGAAUAAAUGACGGUACCAUUUAUAAGCUCCGGCUAACUACGUGCCAGCAGCCGCGGUAAUACGUAGGGAGCAAGCGUUGUUCGGAUUUACUGGGCGUAAAGGGCGCGUAGGCGGCGCGGUAAGUCACUUGUGAAAUCUCUGAGCUUAACUCAGAACGGCCAAGUGAUACUGCUGUGCUAGAGUGCGGAAGAGGCAACCGGAAUUCUUGGUGUAGCGGUGAAAUGCGUAGAUAUCAAGAGGAACACCUGAGGCGAAGGCGGGUUGCUGGGCCGACACUGACGCUGAUGCGCGAAAGCCAGGGGAGCAAACG
Molecule: ribosomal RNA, 401 nt
Filed under: uncultured bacterium
Lineage: Bacteria
Description: bacterial SSU rRNA
Rfam family: Bacterial small subunit ribosomal RNA
Source: RNAcentral